AACGAACGCUGGCGGCAUGCCUAACACAUGCAAGUCGAACGAGACCUUCGGGUCUAGUGGCGCACGGGUGCGUAACGCGCGGGAACCUGCCCUUAGGUUCGGAAUAACUCCCCGAAAGGGGUGCUAAUACCGGAUAAUGUCUUCGGACCAAAGAUUUAUCGCCUUUGGAUGGGCCCGCGUUGGAUUAGCUAGUUGGUAGGGUAAAAGCCUACCAAGGCGACGAUCCAUAGCUGGUCUGAGAGGAUGAUCAGCCACACUGGGACUGAGACACGGCCCAGACUCCUACGGGAGGCAGCAGUGGGGAAUAUUGGACAAUGGGCGAAAGCCUGAUCCAGCAAUGCCGCGUGAGUGAUGAAGGCCUUAGGGUUGUAAAGCUCUUUUACCCGGGAUGAUAAUGACAGUACCAGGAGAAUAAGCUCCGGCUAACUCCGUG
Molecule: ribosomal RNA, 433 nt
Filed under: uncultured bacterium
Lineage: Bacteria
Description: partial 16S ribosomal RNA
Rfam family: Bacterial small subunit ribosomal RNA
Source: RNAcentral